RNAcentral lists this ribosomal RNA (465 nucleotides) under uncultured Klebsiella sp. RNAcentral describes it as "bacterial SSU rRNA". It matches the Rfam family "Bacterial small subunit ribosomal RNA", at positions 338 to 795 of the family's 1533-position model. Lineage: Bacteria; Pseudomonadati; Pseudomonadota; Gammaproteobacteria; Enterobacterales; Enterobacteriaceae. The record is from RNAcentral.
CCUACGGGCGGCAGCAGUGGGGAAUAUUGCGCAAUGGGCGCAAGCCUGAUGCGGCCAUGCCGCGUGUGUGAAGAAGGCCUUCGGGUUGUAAAGCACUUUCAGCGGGGAGGAAGGCGGUGAGGUUAAUAACCUCAUCGAUUGACGUUACCCGCAGAAGAAGCACCGGCUAACUCCGUGCCAGCAGCCGCGGUAAUACGGAGGGUGCAAGCGUUAAUCGGAAUUACUGGGCGUAAAGCGCACGCAGGCGGUCUGUCAAGUCGGAUGUGAAAUCCCCGGGCUCAACCUGGGAACUGCAUUCGAAACUGGCAGGCUAGAGUCUUGUAGAGGGGGGUAGAAUUCCAGGUGUAGCGGUGAAAUGCGUAGAGAUCUGGAGGAAUACCGGUGGCGAAGGCGGCCCCCUGGACAAAGACUGACGCUCAGGUGCGAAAGCGUGGGGAGCAAACAGGAUUAGAUACCCCAGUAGUC